This is a long non-coding RNA of Lolium rigidum, 595 nucleotides long. RefSeq lists it as uncharacterized. The transcript has 5 exons. The record is from RefSeq and is a predicted model, not a curated record. NCBI's taxonomy places the organism in Eukaryota, Viridiplantae, Streptophyta, Magnoliopsida, Poales, Poaceae.
UGAGCAGCGGUGGCUGAAGGUAGUAGGAGAUGACUACCAUGCUAGCGAUCCAGCUUCAUGUACGGCUCGCAUCUCGGUUUUUUUCUCUCUAAAGAGCCCGCUGAUAAGGUGUUACCCAGAUUGUGUGCAACCUUCGAAAAGCUCAUGUAGAAGCACCUUUAAUCAUGCUCUGAUUGUCGUACCGAUUCACUGUUUCACGGUGCUCCUCCUACACUUCGGAGAUGAAUUGCAGCUCGCGGCCUCUCCUACUGCACACCCAAGGGUGACACCCUCCACUGACUAGCAUCUAAGGAUGCCCGCGGCCACAUCGUCGCGUGAGUAAGCUUCAACGGAAUAGAUCUAGAAAGGGAUCUGCCGAUGGAACUCCGAAGGACGAAGACUCAAGAACAGAUAUUUAGUCAAAGAAGAACCGCCAAAGCCUGAGGCAUGUUACAUUGGUACCCAAUAAAAAUUUGAUUACAUUGUAGCAGAUAUGAGUGACUAAUCCAGUCAUCCAGAUGACGUGACAUUGUAGCAGAUAUGAGUGACUAAUCCAGUCAUCCAGAUGACGUCAAUGCAAAUAGGGUAAGGCAUUGUUCUUGCAGGCCAUUUAUUC